RNAcentral lists this ribosomal RNA (253 nucleotides) under uncultured bacterium. Its description in RNAcentral is "partial 16S ribosomal RNA". It matches the Rfam family "Bacterial small subunit ribosomal RNA", at positions 524 to 776 of the family's 1533-position model. The record is from RNAcentral.
UACGAAGGGUGCAAACGUUGCUCGGAAUCAUUGGGCGUAAAGCGCACGUAGGCGGCUUUGCAAGUCUGACGUGAAAUCCCUCAGCUCAACUGAGGAAGUGCAUCGGAAACUGCAAGGCUUGAGUACUGAAGAGGAUCGCGGAAUUCCCGGUGUAGAGGUGAAAUUCGUAGAUAUCGGGAGGAACACCAGUGGCGAAGGCGGCGAUCUGGGCAGAUACUGACGCUGAACGGCGAAAGCUAGGGGAGCAAACGGG